RNAcentral lists this ribosomal RNA (330 nucleotides) under Acinetobacter baumannii. Its description in RNAcentral is "bacterial LSU rRNA". It matches the Rfam family "Bacterial large subunit ribosomal RNA", at positions 2619 to 2925 of the family's 2925-position model. The record is from RNAcentral. Lineage: Bacteria; Pseudomonadati; Pseudomonadota; Gammaproteobacteria; Moraxellales; Moraxellaceae.
UCGUGAGACAGUUCGGUCCCUAUCUACCGUGGGCGCUGGAAAUUUGAGAGGAUCUGCUCCUAGUACGAGAGGACCAGAGUGGACGAACCUCUGGUGUACCGGUUGUGACGCCAGUCGCAUCGCCGGGUAGCUAUGUUCGGAAGGGAUAACCGCUGAAAGCAUCUAAGCGGGAAGCCUACCUCAAGAUAAGAUUUCCCUAGGACUUUAUGUCCUCUAAAGAGCCGUUCGAGACUAGGACGUUGAUAGGUUGGAUGUGGAAGCAUAGUGAUAUGUGAAGCUGACCAAUACUAAUUGCUCGUGAGGCUUGACUAUACAACACCCAAGCAGUUG